Long non-coding RNA from Betta splendens (Siamese fighting fish), 751 nucleotides. RefSeq lists it as uncharacterized. Lineage: Eukaryota; Metazoa; Chordata; Actinopteri; Anabantiformes; Osphronemidae. The record is from RefSeq and is a predicted model, not a curated record. The transcript has 3 exons.
UUGUGGUGGUGGACAAAGAGCAGAGGAAAGCCGUAGUGGUGGAUGUGGCAAUACCAAGCGAUGGCAACAUCAGGAAAAAGGAACAUGAGAAACUAGAGAAAUACCAAGGGCUCAGAGAAGAACUGGAGAAGGCUUGGAAGGUGAAGGCCACAGUGGUGCCUGUGGUGAUUGGAGCACUGGGGGCAGUGACCCCCAAACUGGAGGAGUGGCUACAACAGAUCCCUGGAAUAACAUCCGACAUCUCAGUCCAGAAAAGUGCAGUCCUAGGAACAGCAAGGAUACUGCGCAGAACCCUCAAGCUUCCUGGCCUCUGGUAGAGGACCCGAGCUUGGAAAAGUGGAUGAGACCACCCACGUGGGGUGAGAAGGGAGUUUUUUUUUUUUUUUUUUAGAAGUGCUCCUAGAUCCACAGAGUCUGAUACAUACUAUAACAUAACACAUACGCAGACAGUAACAAAUUGUCAUUGUCAUUUUACAGAACAUUCCUGGGGAUUUAAAUGCAGAUGAAGGUCCAUCUACCUCCUCACAAAAUCUAAGCAGUUUGCCAGCAAAUAAGCUGUAUAAGGUCCAUCUUAGACAACAAAUUAAAAAGAAUGACUUGGAGAUGGCCCUUAUACAGCUCAAAAUAGAGGAGAAGAGACUGGCCAUCAAAGAGGCUACACUGGAAAUCGAAAUCCUGGAGCAUCGCCUUAGGGACAUGAAGAAAUGAAGAUCACUGUUGGUGCAGAAACAUUUUAAUAAAAAUGAUUCUG